GUGCAGUGAUGAUUUGGAACCAAUUCUGAAUAUUUUAUAUGUAGCUAAUACAAAUCGAGCUUUUUAACACUGAGCACC
This is a non-coding RNA of Rhodnius prolixus, 78 nucleotides long. The record is from Rfam. Lineage: Eukaryota; Metazoa; Arthropoda; Insecta; Hemiptera; Reduviidae.